UACGUAGGCGGAAAAUUAAGUCAGUAGUGAAAUCCUGCAGCUCAACUGUAGAACUGUUAUUGAUACUGGUUUUCUUGAAUGUAGUUGAGGUAGGCGGAAUGUGUAAUGUAGCGGUGAAAUGCUUAGAUAUUACACAGAACACCGAUUGCGAAGGCAGCUUACUAAGCUACGAUUGACGCUGAGGUACGAAAGCGUGGGGAGCAAACAGGAUUAGAUACCCUGGUAGUCC
This 229-nucleotide ribosomal RNA is filed under the name uncultured bacterium. RNAcentral describes it as "partial 16S ribosomal RNA". It matches the Rfam family "Bacterial small subunit ribosomal RNA", at positions 568 to 796 of the family's 1533-position model. The record is from RNAcentral.